This 70-nucleotide small nucleolar RNA is filed under the name Otolemur garnettii (small-eared galago). The record is from RNAcentral. Lineage: Eukaryota; Metazoa; Chordata; Mammalia; Primates; Galagidae.
CAGUAUAUAUGGUUCAGAAGAGGUUUUUUAGCUGAGCUCAUGAUGGAUUUGCUUUUUUCUGAUAAAGCUG